Molecule: small nuclear RNA, 141 nt
Organism: Callithrix jacchus (white-tufted-ear marmoset)
Lineage: Eukaryota; Metazoa; Chordata; Mammalia; Primates; Cebidae
Gene: U4
Rfam family: U4 spliceosomal RNA
About the family: U4 small nuclear RNA (U4 snRNA) is a component of the major U2-dependent spliceosome.
Source: Ensembl
AGCUUUGCGCAGUGGCAGUAGCGUAGCCAGGGAGGUUUAGCCGAGGCGCCAUUACUGCUCAUGGAAAACUUUUCCCAGUACCCCGCCACGACGGCUUGAAAUAUAGUCGGCCUUGGCAAUUUUUGACAGUCUCCACGGAGA